RNAcentral lists this unclassified non-coding RNA (394 nucleotides) under soil metagenome. RNAcentral's name for it is "partial contains 5.8S ribosomal RNA, internal transcribed spacer 2, and large subunit ribosomal RNA". The stretch from base 1 to 120 matches the Rfam family "5.8S ribosomal RNA", at positions 35 to 154 of the family's 154-position model. The record is from RNAcentral.
GAUGAAGAACGUAGUGAAAUGCGAUAAGUAAUGUGAAUUGCAGAUUUCAGUGAAUCAUCGAAUCUUUGAACGCACCUUGCGCUCCUUGGUAUUCCGAGGAGCAUGCCUGUUUGAGUGUCAUUAAAUUCUCAACUCUCCAACUGUUGUCAUGACUGGUGGUAGAGCUUGGACGUGAGGGUUCUGCCGGCUCCUUGUUGAGUCUGGCUCCCUUGAAAAUGAUUAGCGCAGCUUUGCACUGUCCGCUUCAGGUGUGAUAAUUUAUCUACGCCCGACUAGCGACGCGCAUGAAUGGCUUUGUGCUUCUAACCGUCUCGAAAGAGACAAUACCUUUUGAACUUGACCUCAAAUCAGGUAGGACUACCCGCUGAACUUAAGCAUAUCAAUAAGCGGAGGA